AAGGGUUCCUGACCCCUGUGGUUGAAUUAGGAAAAAGUUGGAAGAGACUGAGGAGGAGGGUGACCCUACAGGAGGACCAGCAGUUUCAAUUAACCUGGACACCUGUUUUCCUCUCAAACACUGGACCACCAACCAGACAGCAUACACUAACUGUUAUGGGGCCCCCAAUACAUACACAACAGAGGACUCCUGGGUCUCGGUUCAGGCAGAGAAGAUGCACCUAACCCUCAAGAGAGUAGAGGGAGUUGGGAAUGAGGAGGUCUGGUGGGAUGGGGGUGGAAGGGACAUCGUUGUGGAGAUAAGGAUGGGGAGGUAUGAAAUGUGGAACAGUCAGAGGAUGGACCUGGAGGGAAAUAGAUUUUGGAGUGUGAAAAAGAGUUUAAAUUACAAAAAGAUAAAAAACACAUUAUAAAAUUUUAAAUCUUGGGGUUGGGGAUUUAGCUCAGUGGUAGAGCGCUUGCCUAGGAAGCGCAAGGCCCUGGGUUCGGUCCCCAGCUCCGAAAAAAAAAGAAAAAAAAAAGAGAGAACACGUGAUGUUUAAAAUUUUAAAUCUUAAACAAUUCUUUGAAGAACUGAUAUUUUUAAAGGUGUUCUGCAUUGCAUAGCCAAACCUUUGUUCCCAAAUAUGAAGAUACAAUUUUUAGUGAAGAUAUAUAUC
RNAcentral lists this long non-coding RNA (658 nucleotides) under Rattus norvegicus (Norway rat). Its description in RNAcentral is "long non-coding RNA NONRATT008776". The stretch from base 432 to 500 matches the Rfam family "tRNA". Lineage: Eukaryota; Metazoa; Chordata; Mammalia; Rodentia; Muridae. The record is from RNAcentral.